Molecule: long non-coding RNA, 280 nt
Filed under: Eucalyptus grandis
Lineage: Eukaryota; Viridiplantae; Streptophyta; Magnoliopsida; Myrtales; Myrtaceae
Description: long non-coding RNA (EGRA_LNC001955)
Source: RNAcentral
CCUAAACAAGCCCAAAUCCACUAAAACCACUUAGGCUUGAGAUUACUCAAACAUUAAAUAGGCCCAAUUCUUUAUAGCCGAGUCUUCCCACUUCGAAUCCCCAACGUAUUACUGACGUUUGGCCCUGCUGCAAGUUCAUUCCUAAAGCUAAAACAUUAACUCCAGAGCAAGCGCGGCUCAACCAUCAACGCUCUCAGACUUCAAAUUGAGAAUAACUUAAACAUCACCCUUGAUAGCCUAGGUGUGCCACCAGACCCACAUCGCCGCCAUGCCAAAGCCU